This 468-nucleotide ribosomal RNA is filed under the name uncultured bacterium. RNAcentral describes it as "partial 16S ribosomal RNA". It matches the Rfam family "Bacterial small subunit ribosomal RNA", at positions 28 to 507 of the family's 1533-position model. The record is from RNAcentral.
GACGAACGCUGGCGGCGUGCUUAACACAUGCAAGUCGAACGGAAAGGCCCUGCUUUUGUGGGGUGCUCGAGUGGCGAACGGGUGAGUAACACGUGAGUAACCUGCCCUUGACUUUGGGAUAACUUCAGGAAACUGGGGCUAAUACCGGAUAGGAGCUCCUGCUGCAUGUUGGGGUUUGGAAAGUUUCGGCGUUUGGGGAUGGUCUCGCGGCUUAUCAGCUUGUUGGUGGGGUAGUGGCUUACCAAGGCUUUGACGGGUAGCCGGCCUGAGAGGGUGCCCGGCCACAUUGGGACUGAGAUACGGCCCAGACUCCUACGGGAGGCAGCAGUGGGGAAUAUUGCACAAUGGGCGGAAGCCUGAUGCAGCAACGCCGCGUGCGGGAUGACGGCCUUCGGGUUGUAAACCGCUUUCGCCUGUGACGAAGCGUGAGUGACGGUAAUGGGUAAAGAAGCACCGGCUAACUACGUG